This 335-nucleotide long non-coding RNA is filed under the name Fukomys damarensis (Damara mole-rat). Its description in RNAcentral is "lncRNA (ENSFDAG00000030999.1)". The record is from RNAcentral. Lineage: Eukaryota; Metazoa; Chordata; Mammalia; Rodentia; Bathyergidae.
UCCUCCUCCCAGCAUGCUGGGUAUUGAGGGAAGAAAGCUGAGUUUGAACACUUUACCAGGUAGAGCCCCUUGAAUACCUGAGAAAAGAGCACUUCGCCAGUCCUGCGGGGUCACCUUGGACCAGCUAUACCUUCCAGAGCAGCGAUCCUCCGGGAACCAUCCAAGCCCGCUGUGCAGGCUGACCGCUGUUCAGACCACGUCCAAAAGGAACAAAAAGCUCAGACAGCCCCGAGGCAAGGAUUGGAGGAUGGCCAGGCUCCCCGGAGAGUACACUGUCCCGCUCUGGAAGCAGUCAGAGGAAAGUGGGGGUGUUAAUCCAAUAAUGAGGGUUUAUU